UGGGGAAUUUUCCGCAAUGGGGGGAACCCUGACGGAGCAACGCCGCGUGCGGGAGGACGGCCUGUGGGUUGUAAACCGCUUUUCUCUAGGAAGAAGGUCUGACGGUACUAGAGGAAUCAGCAUCGGCUAACUCCGUGCUAGCAGCAGCGGUAAGACGGAGGAUGCAAGCGUUAUCCGGAAUUAUUGGGCGUAAAGCGUCCGUAGGCGGUUCAUCAAGUCAGUUGUUAAAGACUGCAGCUCAACUGUGGGCGAGCAACUGAAACUGAUGAACUAGAGUGCGGUAGGGGUAGAGGGAAUUCCCAGUGUAGCGGUUAAAUGCGUAGAUAUUGGGAAGAACACCAUGGGAGAAGGCGCUCUACUGGGCCGCAACUGACGCUGAGGGACGAAAGCUAGGGGAGCGAAAGGGAUUAGAUACCCCGGUAGUCC
RNAcentral lists this ribosomal RNA (426 nucleotides) under uncultured prokaryote. RNAcentral describes it as "bacterial SSU rRNA". It matches the Rfam family "Bacterial small subunit ribosomal RNA", at positions 355 to 796 of the family's 1533-position model. The record is from RNAcentral.